RNAcentral lists this ribosomal RNA (330 nucleotides) under Promitobates hatschbachi. RNAcentral's name for it is "partial 12S ribosomal RNA". Lineage: Eukaryota; Metazoa; Arthropoda; Arachnida; Opiliones; Gonyleptidae. The record is from RNAcentral.
CCCUUGUAUUUUUUUUUUAUUGGAUAAAUUUUUUGAACUAUUUUCAUAAAAUUAAAAAUUUUGGCAGUUGAUUUAUAUAUUAAAGGAGCUUGUUGGAACUAAGAAUUUACACUUUAAAUUUUAAUAAUUAAAUUGUUUGUUUAUUCAUUUCUGUUAUUAAAAUAGUUUUUAAAUAAAGUUUAUUUAAAAUUUCAGGUCAAUAUGUAGCAUUAAUUAUGAAUAAUUAGCUACAAUUAGAUAUUAUUGGUUAAGGAUUAGAAAAGUUUUUAUAAAUUGAAUUUAGUUGUAAUAGGUACUUAUAAUGUUAUUAUGAUUUAGGUUAAUUAAUGU